RNAcentral lists this ribosomal RNA (400 nucleotides) under uncultured bacterium. Its description in RNAcentral is "bacterial SSU rRNA". It matches the Rfam family "Bacterial small subunit ribosomal RNA", at positions 338 to 738 of the family's 1533-position model. The record is from RNAcentral.
CCUACGGGCGGCAGCAGUGGGGAAUAUUGCACAAUGGGCGAAAGCCUGAUGCAGCGACGCCGCGUGAGGGAUGACGGCCUUCGGGUUGUAAACCUCUUUCAGUAGGGAACAAGGCCAGCAUUUUUGUUGGUUGAGGGUACUUGCAGAAGAAGCGCCGGCUAACUACGUGCCAGCAGCCGCGGUAAUACGUAGGGCGCAAGCGUUAUCCGGAAUUAUUGGGCGUAAAGAGCUCGUAGGCGGUUUGUCGCGUCUGCCGUGAAAGUCCGGGGCUCAACUCCGGAUCUGCGGUGGGUACGAGCAGACUAGAGUGAUGUAGGGGAGACUGGAAUUCCUGGUGUAGCGGUGAAAUGCGCAGAUAUCAGGAGGAACACCGAUGGCGAAGGCAGGUCUCUGGGCAUUA